This is a long non-coding RNA of Amphimedon queenslandica, 704 nucleotides long. RefSeq lists it as uncharacterized. The transcript has 3 exons. The record is from RefSeq and is a predicted model, not a curated record. Lineage: Eukaryota; Metazoa; Porifera; Demospongiae; Haplosclerida; Niphatidae.
GACAAAAUCUUCUUAGGGGGUUGGUAAAACCGGGCUCGGGCACGGGAAAUGGCGGGGUAAAACCGGGCUGCCCCGGACUGGGGCUUCACUUAUUGUCAUGGAAUAAGGACUGAUAUGGAGCUAGUAAGGACAUAGAACAAACUACUGAGGAAGCCAUGAAUCCCCCUUGACUAAUGCUGGGAACAAGGCCGCGGCUCUACUCCCAUCUGUCUCAAGGCUUCUAAGUCCACUUUAACUCUCUCAUUUUAUUUCUGAUUUUAUUUGCUGUCAUUGUUAUCUUAAUUCUCAUUUUCCUUGAUUGUUGAUUUAUUUAUAUUUAUUACUAUUAUUUUUACUGUUGAUCAUUAUUCAUUUCCACUUUUCUUUUUGUUUUCCAGGGGCCAUAGCAGUUCAGUCUUGCUGGGAUGUCUGUACCGUAUUAUCAAACUUACUCAAUUUGGUUUAUUGUAAAUAAAUUAUAUUACAAAACAGAACCAGAAACUAUCAGGAAAUUAGAUUUUACAGGUGAACAAUAUUAUUAUUUUAAAAAUGAUUUUCUUUGCAUCAUAAUAGCAGUAUGGACUAUGAAUGUAGCAGUGAAAUGCUCACAGGAAUGAAUCAUGCAACCUCUCAAAAUAAAUCUCUUUUCAUCACCAAAAUUUCUCUGGGAAUUUGCAUGAUUUCAGAACCACAUUAUCUUGAAAUUGAUAUUAUAGAGAAUAUCC